RNAcentral lists this long non-coding RNA (1151 nucleotides) under Vulpes vulpes (red fox). Its description in RNAcentral is "lncRNA (ENSVVUG00000019950.1)". The record is from RNAcentral. Lineage: Eukaryota; Metazoa; Chordata; Mammalia; Carnivora; Canidae.
UGACAGUUGCUUUGACUUGACUUGUCCUGAUAAUUGCUUUAAGUCCUCCAUGACCCUCCAAUAGAAUGUGUGAGCUCCAUUAGAAAGUGUAUGAUUUGCAGGGGAUGGUGUGCCACUAUCUUCUUACAAAAUAGGAAUGUAUAUUGAUGUCCUUUGUUUGAGUCAAAUAUAAUCUAUGUUAGUGGGAAUUUCCCCAGAAGCUGACCCUGAGACAGGAACCCAAAUGAAAUAGCUUAUCCUGAAGUGAUUCUAGGAAGCAUUGAUAGAGAGAUGGGAAAAUAAAACCACAAAUUACCUCUGUGGGUAAGGAUCUUACUUCUACAGGGCAAAUCUGAGAACCAGAAUAGAACUCUGCUUAGAAUUCCACCUGAGGUUAAUACACAGACUCCCAAGAGUCAUUGUUUAGUGCCUUGACUGGGAACAUUAACACUUUAGCACUUGGGACAGAUUGGGCUUCAAUUUGCAGGGAAAGCUGUCAAGCAAAGAGAGGCAAAUACUGGCCUGGUAGCCUGGCUGGCAGGCACUGCAAAUAUAAAUCCCAAAGGCAUAUGGAUGGGGCACCAACUAUACUUCCAGUCCUCCUCAGGCCAAAAGACCUCAGGAUUUGACAUUCCAGAUCUGGCUCCACCUUUCUUUUAUUCUCUACUUUCAGAACCAAUCCAGAUGUUUGGACAUGAACGUUCACCUUGUUAUUUUCCUGGAGGAGUGAUGUGCAAAGGGUGCUGUGGUUCCAGAAAUCCAGGAGACAUGGAAGGUCACUGUGGGAAGAGAAGUCUGCAUCUUGAAGGAUCAGCUGAAGUUUGGCACAUAGAAAAGUAAAACGAAGGAAUUUUAGGCAGAGGGAAAUGUUUGUGCAGCAGUAUGAGGAUCGACAGGGAUGCAAAAGUCUGGGUUUUAACAGAAGAUAGAGGACACUAUGAAGAAAUGCUGACAGUUUUCAGUGGCCAGCGGCAGCAAACAUGAUCAUUCUUCUUGACUUUCACCCCACCUCUCCCCUUCCCACGUCUGUGGAAUCUGGCUUCAGCCCUGAGCUGGGUUCUUCUUUCAGUUUGAUAAAUGCUUUCACUAUUUUGCUUAAUUGUCUCCUUCCAGUAUUUAUUAAACAGAAAGAAGAUUAAAUCCAAUUAAAUAAAUGAAGCACUUUUUGACCA